RNAcentral lists this ribosomal RNA (2898 nucleotides) under Streptococcus pneumoniae. RNAcentral describes it as "bacterial LSU rRNA". It matches the Rfam family "Bacterial large subunit ribosomal RNA". Lineage: Bacteria; Bacillati; Bacillota; Bacilli; Lactobacillales; Streptococcaceae. The record is from RNAcentral.
UUAAGUUAAUAAGGGCGCACGGUGGAUGCCUUGGCACUAGGAGCCGACGAAGGACGUGACAAACGACGAUAUGCCUUGGGUAGCUGUAAGUAAGCGAUGAUCCAGGGAUUUCCGAAUGGGGGAACCCAACAGGUAGUACCUGUUACCCACAUAUGUUAAGGAUGUGAGGAGGAAGACGCAGUGAACUGAAACAUCUAAGUAGCUGCAGGAAGAGAAAGCAAAAGCGAUUGCCUUAGUAGCGGCGAGCGAAACGGCAGAAGGGCAAACCGAAGAGUUUACUCUUCGGGGUUGUAGGACUGCAAUGUGGACUCAAAGAUUAUAGAAGAAUGAUUUGGGAAGAUCAGCCAAAGAGAGUAAUAGCCUCGUAUUUAAAAUAGUCUUUGUACUUAGCAGUAUCCUGAGUACGGCGGGACACGUGAAAUCCCGUCGGAAUCUGGGAGGACCAUCUCCCAACCCUAAAUACUCCCUAGUGACCGAUAGUGAACCAGUACCGUGAGGGAAAGGUGAAAAGCACCCCGGGAGGGGAGUGAAAUAGAACCUGAAACCGUGUGCCUACAACAAGUUCGAGCCCGUUAAUGGGUGAGAGCGUGCCUUUUGUAGAAUGAACCGGCGAGUUACGUUAUGAUGCGAGGUUAAGUUGAAGAGACGGAGCCGUAGGGAAACCGAGUCUGAAUAGGGCGCCUUAGUAUCAUGACGUAGACCCGAAACCAUGUGACCUACCCAUGAGCAGGUUGAAGGUGCGGUAAGACGCACUGGAGGACCGAACCAGGGCACGUUGAAAAGUGCUUGGAUGACUUGUGGGUAGCGGAGAAAUUCCAAACGAACUUGGAGAUAGCUGGUUCUCUCCGAAAUAGCUUUAGGGCUAGCGUCGACAUUAGAGAUUCUUGGAGGUAGAGCACUGUUUGGGUGAGGGGUCCAUCCCGGAUUACCAAUCUCAGAUAAACUCCGAAUGCCAAUGAAUUAUGGUCGGCAGUCAGACUGCGAGUGCUAAGAUCCGUAGUCGAAAGGGAAACAGCCCAGACCACCAGCUAAGGUCCCAAAAUAAUUGUUAAGUGGAAAAGGAUGUGGGGUUGCACAGACAACUAGGAUGUUAGCUUAGAAGCAGCUAUUCAUUCAAAGAGUGCGUAAUAGCUCACUAGUCGAGUGACCCUGCGCCGAAAAUGUACCGGGGCUAAAACAAUUUACCGAAGCUGUGGAUACCUUUAUAGGUAUGGUAGGAGAGCGUUCUAUGUGUGAUGAAGGUAUACCGUGAGGAGUGCUGGAACGCAUAGAAGUGAGAAUGCCGGUAUGAGUAGCGAAAGACAGGUGAGAAUCCUGUCCACCGUAAGACUAAGGUUUCCAGGGGAAGGCUCGUCCGCCCUGGGUUAGUCGGGACCUAAGGAGAGACCGAAAGGUGUAUCCGAUGGACAACAGGUUGAUAUUCCUGUACUAGAGUAUGUAGUGAUGGAGGGACGCAGUAGGCUAACUAAAGCAGACGAUUGAAGAGUCUGUCUAAGCAGUGAGGUGUGAAUUGAGUCAAAUGCUUAAUUCUAUAACAUUGAGCUGUGAUGGGGAGCGAAGUUUAGUAGCGAAGUUAGUGACGUCACACUGCCAAGAAAAGCUUCUAGCGUUUAAACAUACUCUACCCGUACCGCAAACCGACACAGGUAGUCGAGGCGAGUAGCCUCAGGUGAGCGAGAGAACUCUCGUUAAGGAACUCGGCAAAAUGACCCCGUAACUUCGGGAGAAGGGGUGCUGACUUAAAGUCAGCCGCAGUGAAUAGGCCCAAGCAACUGUUUAUCAAAAACACAGCUCUCUGCUAAAUCGUAAGAUGAUGUAUAGGGGGUGACGCCUGCCCGGUGCUGGAAGGUUAAGAGGAGUGCUUAGCGUAAGCGAAGGUAUGAAUUGAAGCCCCAGUAAACUGCGGCCGUAACUAUAACGGUCCUAAGGUAGCGAAAUUCCUUGUCGGGUAAGGUUCCGACCCGCACGAAAGGCGUAAUGAUUUGGGCACUGUCUCAACGAGAGACUCGGUGAAAUUUUAGUACCUGUGAAGAUGCAGGUUACCCGCGACAGGACGGAAAGACCCCAUGGAGCUUUACUGCAGUUUGAUAUUGAGUGUCUGUACCACAUGUACAGGAUAGGUAGGAGUCUAAGAGAUCGGGACGCCAGUUUCGAAGGAGACGCUGUUGGGAUACUACCCUUGUGUUAUGGCCACUCUAACCCAGAUAGGUGAUCCCUAUCGGAGACAGUGUCUGACGGGCAGUUUGACUGGGGCGGUCGCCUCCUAAAAGGUAACGGAGGCGCCCAAAGGUUCCCUCAGAAUGGUUUGAAAUCAUUCGCAGAGUGUAAAGGUAUAAGGGAGCUUGACUGCGAGAGCUACAACUCGAGCAGGGACGAAAGUCGGGCUUAGUGAUCCGGUGGUUCCGUAUGGAAGGGCCAUCGCUCAACGGAUAAAAGCUACCCUGGGGAUAACAGGCUUAUCUCCCCCAAGAGUUCACAUCGACGGGGAGGUUUGGCCCCUCGAUGUCGGCUCGUCGCAUCCUGGGGCUGUAGUCGGUCCCAAGGGUUGGGCUGUUCGCCCAUUAAAGCGGCACGCGAGCUGGGUUCAGAACGUCGUGAGACAGUUCGGUCCCUAUCCGUCGCGGGCGUAGGAAAUUUGAGAGGAUCUGCUCCUAGUACGAGAGGACCAGAGUGGACUUACCGCUGGUGUACCAGUUGUCUUGCCAAAGGCAUCGCUGGGUAGCUAUGUAGGGAAGGGAUAAACGCUGAAAGCAUCUAAGUGUGAAACCCCCUCAAGAUGAGAUUUCCAAGAUUAUAUAUCAGUAAGAGCCCUGAGAGAUGAUCAGGUAGAUAGGUUAGAAGUGGAAGUGUGGCGACACAUGUAGCGGACUAAUACUAAUAGCUCGAGGACUUAUCCAA